Molecule: unclassified non-coding RNA, 202 nt
Filed under: Hevea brasiliensis (rubber tree)
Lineage: Eukaryota; Viridiplantae; Streptophyta; Magnoliopsida; Malpighiales; Euphorbiaceae
Source: RNAcentral
GAACUCUUAUGGAAAACCUUGGAGCUUUGCCCUGUCACACAGACCUGCCGUGUUAUGUUUCUCAACUGGGACUCAUCAUACAGAAACUGAAGAAUGUGCUAGGCCUUAUGAUAGUUCUGCAGGUUUAAGAUGUGCCCAAUCUGGAGAUGAUGAAGAUGAUCAGUCAACUAUUUGUAGAAGAACUAUUAAGUCCAACCCUGGA